AGUGAACGCUGGCGGUAGGCCUAACACAUGCAAGUCGAACGGCAGCACAGUAAGAGCUUGCUCUUACGGGUGGCGAGUGGCGGACGGGUGAGGAAUACAUCGGAAUCUACUUUUUCGUGGGGGAUAACGUAGGGAAACUUACGCUAAUACCGCAUACGACCUACGGGUGAAAGCAGGGGAUCUUCGGACCUUGCGCGAUUGAAUGAGCCGAUGUCGGAUUAGCUAGUUGGCGGGGUAAAGGCCCACCAAGGCGACGAUCCGUAGCUGGUCUGAGAGGAUGAUCAGCCACACUGGAACUGAGACACGGUCCAGACUCCUACGGGAGGCAGCAGUGGGGAAUAUUGGACUAUGGGCGCAAGCCUGAUCCAGCCAUACCGCGUGGGUGAAGAAGGCCUUCGGGUUGUAAAGCCCUUUUGUUGGGAAAGAAAAGCAGCAGGUUAAUACCCCGCUGUUCUGACGGUACCCAAAGAAUAAACACCGGCUAACUUCGU
Molecule: ribosomal RNA, 491 nt
Filed under: uncultured bacterium
Lineage: Bacteria
Description: partial 16S ribosomal RNA
Rfam family: Bacterial small subunit ribosomal RNA
Source: RNAcentral